GGAAUGCAUUAGUGAGAUCGUGAGGUCCUGGAGAUUUCUUUUUCAUUCUUGGAGAAUGACUAGUUCUGAACAGUAAUGUUUUUCCUUCUCAUCAUUUUACUCUAUUAAUUCAGGUUUGGAUGAAGGGACCAACGGGACUGCCACGGGCAAGUCCCUUGACGGGUACCAGAAAUGGUGGAAGGACAAUCUGAAGAAGACCUGAGUCCUAGGACCAUGCCUCAUGACUACCUGGUCUGAUGACUCCUUGCUGUCCCCAGUCCACCUGGUCAUGCUGCUGCUUUUCUAGGGAGUUUUUCCUAGCUACCGUGCUUCGACAUCUGGAUUGCUUGCUGUUUGGCGUUUUAGGCUGAGUUUCUGUACAGCACUUUGACAUCGGCUGAUUUAAAAAGGGCUUUAUAAACACAUUUGAUUGAUAACUGAAAGCCCUCCAAACCAUGAUAAUAUAUAUUUUCCAAAUAAUUGCAUAUAUUCAAAUAUAUUUAUUUAUUUAAUAUAUAUAUUUAUAUAUAUACCUUCAAAUAUUAUUUAUCAUUCUGAGAGGUAUUCAAAAUACUUUCAAAUAUUAUUUGUUUUUCUGAGACCUGUAUUUGAAUUUC
Long non-coding RNA from Oncorhynchus masou masou (cherry salmon), 596 nucleotides. RefSeq lists it as uncharacterized. The transcript has 3 exons. The record is from RefSeq and is a predicted model, not a curated record. NCBI's taxonomy places the organism in Eukaryota, Metazoa, Chordata, Actinopteri, Salmoniformes, Salmonidae.